GACGAACGCUGGCGGCGUGCUUAACACAUGCAAGUCGAACGGAAAGGCCCUGCUUUUGUGGGGUGCUCGAGUGGCGAACGGGUGAGUAACACGUGAGUAACCUGCCCUUGACUUUGGGAUAACUUCAGGAAACUGGGGCUAAUACCGGAUAGGAGCUCCUGCUGCAUGGUGGGGGUUGGAAAGUUUCGGCGGUUGGGGAUGGACUCGCGGCUUAUCAGCUUGUUGGUGGGGUAGUGGCUUACCAAGGCUUUGACGGGUAGCCGGCCUGAGAGGGUGACCGGCCACAUUGGGACUGAGAUACGGCCCAGACUCCUACGGGAGGCAGCAGUGGGGAAUAUGGCACAAUGGGCGGAAGCCUGAUGCAGCAACGCCGCGUGCGGGAUGACGGCCUUCGGGUUGUAAACCGCUUUCGCCUGUGACGAAGCGUGAGUGACGGUAAUGGGUAAAGAAGCACCGGCGAACUACGU
Molecule: ribosomal RNA, 467 nt
Filed under: uncultured bacterium
Lineage: Bacteria
Description: partial 16S ribosomal RNA
Rfam family: Bacterial small subunit ribosomal RNA
Source: RNAcentral